GCCCUGUUAGCUCAGUUGGUAGAGCGGCUCCCUCUUAAGGAGAUGGUCGUAGGUUCGAACCCUACACAGGGUA
Molecule: transfer RNA, 73 nt
Filed under: Candidatus Kuenenbacteria bacterium
Lineage: Bacteria; Candidatus Kueneniibacteriota
Description: tRNA-Lys
Rfam family: tRNA
About the family: Transfer RNA (tRNA) molecules are approximately 80 nucleotides in length. Their secondary structure includes four short double-helical elements and three loops (D, anti-codon, and T loops). Further hydrogen bonds mediate the characteristic L-shaped molecular structure. tRNAs have two regions of fundamental functional importance: the anti-codon, which is responsible for specific mRNA codon recognition, and the 3' end, to which the tRNAs corresponding amino acid is attached (by aminoacyl-tRNA synthetases). tRNAs cope with the degeneracy of the genetic code in two manners: having more than one tRNA (with a specific anti-codon) for a particular amino acid; and 'wobble' base-pairing, i.e. permitting non-standard base-pairing at the 3rd anti-codon position.
Source: RNAcentral